RNAcentral lists this ribosomal RNA (432 nucleotides) under uncultured bacterium. RNAcentral's name for it is "partial 16S ribosomal RNA". It matches the Rfam family "Bacterial small subunit ribosomal RNA", at positions 29 to 507 of the family's 1533-position model. The record is from RNAcentral.
ACGAACGCUGGCGGCAUGCCUCACACCUGCACGUCGAACGCGACCUUCGGGUCUAGUGGCGCACGGGUGCGUAACGCGUGGGAACCUGCCCUUAGGUUCGGAAUAACUCCCCGAAAGGGGUGCUAAUACCGGAUAAUGUCUUCGGACCAAAGAUUUAUCGCCUUUGGAUGGGCCCGCGUUGGAUUAGCUAGUUGGUAGGGUAAAAGCCUACCAAGGCGACGAUCCAUAGCUGGUCUGAGAGGAUGAUCAGCCACACUGGGACUGAGACACGGCCCAGACUCCUACGGGAGGCAGCAGUGGGGAAUAUUGGACAAUGGGCGAAAGCCUGAUCCAGCAAUGCCGCGUGAGUGAUGAAGGCCUUAGGGUUGUAAAGCUCUUUUACCCGGGAUGAUAAUGACAGUACCGGGAGAAUAAGCUCCGGCUAACUCCGUG